GUGCUUGCUUUGGCAGCACACAUGCAAAAAUUAGAAUAAUACAGAGUAGAGGAGGAUGGCCCUUGUGCAAGAUAACACGCAAGCUCUUGAAGCGUUCCAUAUUUUA
Mesocricetus auratus (golden hamster) is the source of this 106-nucleotide small nuclear RNA. The record is from Ensembl. NCBI's taxonomy places the organism in Eukaryota, Metazoa, Chordata, Mammalia, Rodentia, Cricetidae.